GAACGCUGGCGGCAGGCCUAACACAUGCAAGUCGGACGGUAGCACAGAGAGCUUGCUCUCGGGUGACGAGUGGCGGACGGGUGAGUAAUGUCUGGGGAUCUGCCCGAUAGAGGGGGAUAACCACUGGAAACGGUGGCUAAUACCGCAUAACGUCGCAAGACCAAAGAGGGGGACCUUCGGGCCUCUCACUAUCGGAUGAACCCAGAUGGGAUUAGCUAGUAGGCGGGGUAAUGGCCCACCUAGGCGACGAUCCCUAGCUGGUCUGAGAGGAUGACCAGCCACACUGGAACUGAGACACGGUCCAGACUCCUACGGGAGGCAGCAGUGGGGAAUAUUGCACAAUGGGCGCAAGCCUGAUGCAGCCAUGCCGCGUGUAUGAAGAAGGCCUUCGGGUUGUAAAGUACUUUCAGCGGGGAGGAAGGCGAUGCGGUUAAUAACCGCGUCGAUUGACGUUACCCGCAGAAGAAGCACCGGCUAACUCCGUGCCAGCAGCCGCGGUAAUACGGAGGGUGCAAGCGUUAAUCGGAAUUACUGGGCGUAAAGCGCACGCAGGCGGUCUGUUAAGUCAGAUGUGAAAUCCCCGGGCUUAACCUGGGAACUGCAUUUGAAACUGGCAGGCUUGAGUCUUGUAGAGGGGGGUAGAAUUCCAGGUGUAGCGGUGAAAUGCGUAGAGAUCUGGAGGAAUACCGGUGGCGAA
Molecule: ribosomal RNA, 697 nt
Filed under: Pantoea sp. enrichment culture clone V-S2/V-S3_68
Lineage: Bacteria; Pseudomonadati; Pseudomonadota; Gammaproteobacteria; Enterobacterales; Erwiniaceae
Also listed under: 1 other name
Description: bacterial SSU rRNA
Rfam family: Bacterial small subunit ribosomal RNA
Source: RNAcentral